GAUGAAGAACGUAGCGAAAUGCGAUAAGUAAUGUGAAUUGCAGAAUUCAGUGAAUCAUCGAAUCUUUGAACGCAUCUUGCGCUCCUUGGUAUUCCUUGGAGCAUGCCUGUUUGAGUAUCAUGAGCAAAUCUCAAAGUCAAUUCCUUUUGUUGAUUCAAUUGGUUUUGCUUUGGACUUGGAGGCCUUGCAGAUUUCACAGUCUGCUCCUCUUAAAUGCAUUAGCUGGAUCUCAGUAAUUAUGCUUGGUUCCACUCGGCGUGAUAAGUAUCACUCGCUGAGGACACUGUUAAAAAGGUGGCCAGGAAAAUACUGAUUGAACCGCUUCUAACGGUCUAUUAAGUUAGACAAUUACCCUAAAAUUUGAUCUCAAAUCAGGUAGGACUACCCGCUGAACUUAAGCAUAUAAAUAAGCGGAGGA
RNAcentral lists this unclassified non-coding RNA (418 nucleotides) under soil metagenome. Its description in RNAcentral is "partial contains 5.8S ribosomal RNA, internal transcribed spacer 2, and large subunit ribosomal RNA". The stretch from base 1 to 120 matches the Rfam family "5.8S ribosomal RNA", at positions 35 to 154 of the family's 154-position model. The record is from RNAcentral.